UCCUGAACAAUCUGGCUUCAUUGUAAUGAGGUUAAUGAUCUUUGAAAAACCAUGAUUAUGAACAUACAAUUACUUUGUCUUGAGCUGAUCAGCAAACUGUGGUAGUGUUGGUUGAUUGGUGUCUAUAUUUGUUCAAGCUUGACAACCUUAUGACUUUAUUUUCUAAUAUAUAUAUUUCUCAUUACAGAUAAGAACAAAGAUUAAAUUGCAAGAAGGGUUGCUUAUAAAAGGAUACAGUACAUCUGAAACUGCUGAGGCUGAUCAGCUGCUAUAGAAGACAAAAUGAAAUCUGAGUGCAGAGACAAGCAAAGGAAUACUGCAAGACACUACUGACUAGGCUGUGCCCAGGUCUCCGGAACCUGCGACGACGCUCAGCUCCAUCAGCCCUCCGUCUGCGCCUUCGGAUCCACCAGCUCUGUCUCCAUCGGUCGGCCCCCAGAUGUUGGCAGCCACACCAUCUACAUCUUGGCUCCUCCCUCCCUCGACUCCGCCGUGUGUUGUCAGCACUGGGAUGCUCUGGGUCUGUGCCAUGUGCCAAACACCAUCUAAGCCGCCAGGGCAUCAUCGUCAUCCUCUCAUCACCAUCCCUACACCAUCUCCUUGUCCACCUCCAAAACCCCUCCAUCCCUCCCUAUUCUGUUGCUUGAACUUUAUCUUCUUCAGUCUUUGCACACACAUCUAUUCACUUUACAUGUUUUUUUUUUCUUCAGAAAAUUGCAUUGUAAUUUUUAUUUAUUCAUUGAUGUAAAAUUCUUUACUUUUCAGUAAUACAGGUAUAACUGAAAUGUUCUACAAAUGGAUAAGA
Long non-coding RNA from Onychostoma macrolepis, 805 nucleotides. RefSeq lists it as uncharacterized. The record is from RefSeq and is a predicted model, not a curated record. The transcript is spliced from 3 exons. Lineage: Eukaryota; Metazoa; Chordata; Actinopteri; Cypriniformes; Cyprinidae.